GGUGCAGAUGAUGUUUUUUUAGCGAUCAAAGCAUGAUCUCACAGUGAUUACAGCUUUAAAACACUGAUGCACC
RNAcentral lists this small nucleolar RNA (73 nucleotides) under Lepisosteus oculatus (spotted gar). The record is from RNAcentral. Lineage: Eukaryota; Metazoa; Chordata; Actinopteri; Semionotiformes; Lepisosteidae.